Molecule: ribosomal RNA, 491 nt
Filed under: uncultured bacterium
Lineage: Bacteria
Description: bacterial SSU rRNA
Rfam family: Bacterial small subunit ribosomal RNA
Source: RNAcentral
ACGGGAGGCAGCAGUAGGGAAUUUUGCGCAAUGGGCGAAAGCCUGACGCAGCAACGCCGCGUGAUUGAUAAAGCCCUUCGGGGUGUAAAGAUCUGUCAGUGGGGACGAAACUUGACGGUACCCACAGAGGAAGCACCGGCUAACUCCGUGCCAGCAGCCGCGGUAAUACGGAGGGUGCAAGCGUUGUCCGGAAUCAUUGGGCGUAAAGAGUUCGUAGGUGGUUUGUUAAGUUUGGUGUUAAAUGCAGAGGCUCAACUUCUGUUCGGCAUCGGAUACUGGCAGACUAGAAUGCGGUAGAGGUAAAGGGAAUUCCUGGUGUAGCGGUGAAAUGCGUAGAUAUCAGGAGGAACAUCGGUGGCGUAAGCGCUUUACUGGGCCGUAAUUGACACUGAGGAACGAAAGCCAGGGUAGCAAAUGGGAUUAGAUACCCCAGUAGUCCUGGCCGUAAACGAUGGAUACUAGGUGUUGCGGGUAUCGACCCCUGCAGUGCC